CCAAGAACUGUAAACAAACAAAAUCGAUUUAUAAAUUAAAAAAAAACCGAAACUGUGGUAAAGAGUUUAUCAACUAAAAUUCUAUGAUGAUUGACCCCCCUUCUCUCAAAAAUAGAACAAACAGAGAAUUGGAAAGUGAACAACAAAAGAAAAUUGAAAAUUUGCAAAAAUUUAACAGUUUCCUAUGCUAAAAAGAUGAGCAGACGCCCAUGAAAUAUGUUUUUUUUUGUCACUGGUGAUCUCCCCAAUUGACCGAUGUCUGCCCUCUUGAAGGCCGUUCAGAGUGUGAACGCGGAAUGAGCUCAGCUAUGUGAUGUUAUUCAUAAUUGAAUAUCGUUUUAAGAUUCGGUUGCAGCAACAAAAAGCAAAACCAAUAACAAAUCAAAGUGACAUAAAGCCAAAUAACAUUAUACUAAUAAACAAAAAUCAUACUGAUCAGAAAUAGAUAUAAGCAACAAUUAAACUGAUCAAAGUCCAGGCCAAAUGCAUUAAGGAAGGGAUUAUAAUUUUGAUGUCAUUAAAUAGAAGACUUUUCUUUAGGAUUAUUAUGAUAACGACACGUUCAAAUAUAUAUAUAUAUAUAUAGAAAUUCCUUUGAUUCUAUAUAAAUUGGAAUAACUUGCUGUUGGUAAUAAUGGCAAAUGACAUGAUCUACCUCGCCAUAAAUGUAAAUAUGGCAGGAAGCGACCCUUGAAAUCUUUCAACUGAUCGAAAGUCUGCCGGACAGGCAUCACGGCACGUCGGAAGCGUUUUAUCUAUAUGGGUCUAUCUCUGGUUGGAACAUACCAAUAUGGCCAACUGUACUUGGUUUUGGUCAUGACUGCCGUGCAGAAAAUCAAUAUAUAUAAAUACAUAUAUUCCUCUAUAUGUAUGCGUGUGUAUAUGUACAUCUAAUACCACUUAAUGGAGCCAAACAGUUAAUUGCGAUGGUAAUCAUUAUAGCCAAACCCCGUUCUCAUCCCACCAAUCAAUUGGGCAUACAAUUAUUAUUGAUUUUCUUGCAAAAUAAUAAUAACAGCUGAACACGGUUCGGAACCUGGGCCGCGAAAAGUUAA
Drosophila willistoni is the source of this 1055-nucleotide long non-coding RNA. RefSeq lists it as uncharacterized. The transcript is spliced from 2 exons. Lineage: Eukaryota; Metazoa; Arthropoda; Insecta; Diptera; Drosophilidae. The record is from RefSeq and is a predicted model, not a curated record.